AUUGUUGAAAGGGAAGCGCUUGCACCCAGACUUGGGCGCCGUCAAUCACCCGGUGUUCUCACCGGUGCACUUGAUGGCGUGCAGGCCAGCAUCGGUUCUGGCGGCUGGACAAAGGCCCUGGGAAUGUAGCUCCCCCCGGGGAGUGUUAUAGCCCAUGGCGCAAUGCGGCCUGCCGGGACCGAGGACCGCGCUCCGGCUAGGAUGCUGGCGUAAUGGUUGCAAGCGACCCGUCUUGAAACACGGACCAAGGAGUCUAACAUCUAUGCGAGUGUUUGGGCGCAAAACCCAUGCGCGCAAUGAAGGUGAACGGAGGUGAGAACCCUCAAGGGUGCAUCACCGACCGAUCCUGAUGUCCUCGGAUGGAUUUGAGUAAGAGCAUAGCUGUUGGGACCCGAAAGAUUGUGAACUAUGCCUGAAUAGGGUGAAGCCAGAGGAAACUCUGGUGGAGGCUCGCAGCGGUUCUGACGUGCAAAUCGAUCGUCAAAUUUGGGUAUAGGGGCGAAAGACUAAUCGAACAAUCUAGUAGCUGGUUCCUGCCGAAGUUUCCCUCAGGAUAGCAGUGUUGAAUUCAGUUUUAUGAGGUAGAGCGAAUGAUUAGAGGCCUUGGGGCAGCAACUGCCUUAACCUAUUCUCAAACUUCGAAUAUGUAAGAAGUCCUUGUUGCUUAGUUGAACGUGGACAUUUGAAUGUACCAACACUAGUGGGCCAUUUUUGGUAAGCAGAACUGGCGAUGCGGGAUGAACCGAACGCGGAGUUAAGGUGCCGGAAUGUACGCUCAUCAGACACCACAAAAGGUGUUAGUUCAUCUAG
This 810-nucleotide ribosomal RNA is filed under the name uncultured Ascomycota. RNAcentral describes it as "LSU rRNA". It matches the Rfam family "Eukaryotic large subunit ribosomal RNA", at positions 404 to 1236 of the family's 3401-position model. Lineage: Eukaryota; Fungi; Ascomycota. The record is from RNAcentral.